GGGAUGUUUUACUCGGUUAAUCCUCUUUUAAUGACCGACCUGUAACCAUGCAUAAGCCUACCGUAUCCCCUUCAGUGUAAUAAAUGAAGAAUUAUUUCUUCAUUUAUUGAAGAAUGAAGAAAUAAUUCUUCAUUCUUCAAUAAAUGAAGAAUGCUUUUAUCAAGCACUUUCACUUUGUGUCCAGCUGAGUUAUAUUAACUUUCCUGAGAAACACUUUUCGGAAUAUAUUAACUUUCCUGAGAAACACUUUUCGGAAUAUAUUAACUUUCCUGAGAAACACUUUUCGGAAUGCCCCCACGUCUGAAGCCUGUCAUCAAACGCACCUGCUAUGGCUUGGCCAGUGAGUGAACCCCUAAACUGCGUUGCUUGUAAAACGACUCUCUGGGGAGUAAAAUCCUCACCAAUCCACUUAUAAGAGACAUUGGGCAGACACUGCUAGUCCAAAUAUCAGUGGUGAAGCUGACGUCUGAAAUGUCCUGCAACAGGUUCAUGGUGUGCUUUUUCACCAAGUCAUACAGGUUUGGUAAUGCGCUAUCUGUAAUGUGGUGACGGCUGGGAAUCUUAUACUUCGGCUCAAGUACAACUGACAACGGUUGGUCAUCAAGAGCAAUGAAGUGGUCUGUCUGUCUCUCUCAUUCUCUCUGUCAGUCUCUCUCUUAGAUGUGUCAGUCUCUGGAGAUGUGGAGUGGGAUUCCUGCACCGGGAGAAAACACAAAGCCGUUCUUUCCUGUCUGUUGUGUCUGGCCUCCUUUUAUGAAGAUGAUCUUAAACCUCUCAAUCAGUCUCCUGCCUUUAAGAAGCACACGUUAGUUGAAGCCUGUGCAGAGCUCCAAGAGAAGAUCUGCUCUCAGCACACCAAACUGAUUGAUAUCUACUGUCAUACUGACAAAAGCCUCAUCUGUUAUUUGUGUAUGAUGGAUAAACAUAAAGGCCAUGAUACUGUUUCAAUUAAAGCAGAAAGAACUGAAAAACAGGUGAACUGUAUGUCAAUAUACUUUUUUUUCAAGUAAAUCUAUACAAAUUUCUAGUUCUAGCCUAAUUUCUAUUCGAUUGCUUUGGUUUGAUUAUAUGACUCUCGUUCAUUGUGAAGUGAAUUUGUAUUAGAAGUCAAAUGAAACGGGUCAGACUAUUCAGUGUACUUUAAACAGCCAACACCCUACAGCUUUUUAACAGCACUUUACAACAAAAGUGUACACAUGACUGUGUUAAAUCCACUGUAUCAGUUUUAUCGCUGUGUUGGUUGUUUAUAUUGUUUUCAGUUUCUAAUCAAUUUUAUUUCAUGUUUGAAAAUAUUUGAUUGGGAAAAUGUAUAGUAUGAAAAUGAGUGCCUGGAUUUGGUGUGGUUGGUGCAAAGCCCGGUCAACAUGGUCACUAGUGGAGAAAGAAAGAUGGAGCUUUAGAGUAAGCUCAUUAGGAAGAACUUGGCUUCAGGUGUGGUUUUUCUCACAAACAUCGGUAAUUUCAUAACUCCAUUGAAUGGUCUAGAAGUAAAAAAUGUGAAUUUUUAAUGUGUCAGAAUGCGAGUGGAUUCAUGAUGUAUUUAUGUGAAUAUUUCUGAACUACCUUAACGUAAUAUACAGAAGUAACAUUAUUAUUUCUUCCAGUUGCCACUUUCUCUUGUUCUCUUUAAUGUUCCCUGGAAUCUUCUUGUCCACCGCCCAACCCAAACCUGUUUUCUACUCUGUUUUUGACUAAGGCAUUGAAUUUUUCACCUGUUGAUUUAAAGCCUGCCUGUACUUGCAGCCAUAUAUGCUACCUGACAUUUGUGUAACAUGAGUGAAUUUGCAGGUCAUAUUGACACUGAGUUGCUGACACACGAAUAAUGAACUGUAUUUUGUUUGGCCUCGAAUGAGCUAAAGAAGAAGCAGAUGAAAUUCCUGCAGAGGGUGAGGAAGAAGCAGGAGAGGGUGCAGGAGCUGAAACAGACUGUGGACACUAUUAAGCAUGUUAGGAGGUUGGGGUCAGAGCACAGGGUCAGCCAUGAUACAGCGCGAGGAGCAGAGAGGGUUAAGGGCCUUGCUCAAGGGCCCAACAAUGGCAGCGUGGCAGUGCUGGGGCUUCAACCCCCGACCUUCCGAUCAGUAACUAAGUAAGUAAUCAGUUUACCUCUGACUGUUGCAAAACACUAACAUUGGAAACUCCUUACAUAACCCUCUUACAGAAAACGUCACCCUAUUAAUGAUUACACAAGUUUUUAAUCCAUUUCUGCAGACUGUGUGUAUGUGUGUGUGUGUGUACUAACCAAGUAGGCCAGAUUAAUUUUGUUGUUGUAGUCUCCCACCAGCCACAGGCCGUGUUCACCGUUUCCAUCAAUUCCCAACACGGUUUCCUGG
Ictalurus punctatus (channel catfish) is the source of this 2333-nucleotide long non-coding RNA. RefSeq lists it as uncharacterized. The record is from RefSeq and is a predicted model, not a curated record. NCBI's taxonomy places the organism in Eukaryota, Metazoa, Chordata, Actinopteri, Siluriformes, Ictaluridae. The transcript is spliced from 3 exons.